UACAGAGGUGGCAAGCGUUGUUCGGAAUUACUGGGCGUAAAGGGCGCGUAGGCGGCCAUCUAAGUCAGACGUGAAAUCCCCCGGCUCAACCUGGGAACUGCGUCUGAUACUGGACGGCUUGAGUUUGGGAGAGGGAUGUAGAAUUCCAGGUGUAGCGGUGAAAUGCGUAGAUAUCUGGAGGAACACCGGUGGCGAAGGCGGGUCUCUGGGCCGAUACUGACGCUGAGGAGCGAAAGCGUGGGGAGCAAACAGG
This 253-nucleotide ribosomal RNA is filed under the name uncultured bacterium. Its description in RNAcentral is "partial 16S ribosomal RNA". It matches the Rfam family "Bacterial small subunit ribosomal RNA", at positions 524 to 776 of the family's 1533-position model. The record is from RNAcentral.